GCCCUCGUGGCGAAACUGGCAGACGCGCAUGGCUUAGGACCAUGUUCCGCAAGGAUUGGAGGUUCAAAUCCUCCCGAGGGCA
RNAcentral lists this transfer RNA (82 nucleotides) under bacterium. RNAcentral describes it as "tRNA-Leu". It matches the Rfam family "tRNA". From Rfam's summary of the family: Transfer RNA (tRNA) molecules are approximately 80 nucleotides in length. Their secondary structure includes four short double-helical elements and three loops (D, anti-codon, and T loops). The record is from RNAcentral.